UAAAUAAAAUAUUUAUAGUUGUUGUAUUUAAGAAACUGACCCAAGUAGAAGGAAGUAUCUUACAUUGUACCGUACCCACUGUGGUCCAGUAAAACAAAUGUGAAAAAAAAAAUUGGGAGCAUCGUGCAAAUGCGCAGAGAAGGGCCUCGAACAAUGCAAUGCCGCGUCACCCACCCAAGACGCGGCGCCAUAAGAAAGCAUAAGCUUUUCUCUAAAGUCGCGGUGACCGAAGCACUUUAUUUUUCUCCUCCACCUUCACAAAAGGUAAGUGCUUUCGAUUUCUCUCGUCUUCUAUUUUGCGCCUUUUAUUUUUUUAUUUUUUUUAUUUCACCAUUUCCCAGGAAUGUAAAGAAAAUAAUAAUAAAAUAAGUAUACUCCCGAAAGAAAAUUAUCGACCAAGAUAAUCAUCCAAAUUUUGUGAAAUUAUUAGAGAGAUAUAUUCUUUUCUUUGCUGACUAUGUAAGUCAACUUUUUCUAAUACGAAAAGAUUAUUCCGUCCUCCAACAAUUAUCUCUGAAGGUGAUAAAGGUUUUUGUAGACUAAAAAUAGGGUUUAAAUGAGAUUUUUAUUAUUAAUCGGAGUUAAGGAUCGUACAGUUUAAUAUAAUUAAGGAAGAAGCAGCAGCAGCAGCAGCAGCACAAGGACGAGCUCGCCCCGGCGCUCUCAUCUUAAUCCCUGAACCGGGAAUCAAGGCCGGGGAAAUUUUACACCACAAAAUGAGGAAGCCAAAAGAAAAUUUGAAAAAAAAAAAAAAAUAUAAAAAAAACU
Molecule: long non-coding RNA, 768 nt
Filed under: Ananas comosus (pineapple)
Lineage: Eukaryota; Viridiplantae; Streptophyta; Magnoliopsida; Poales; Bromeliaceae
Description: long non-coding RNA (ACOM_LNC022996)
Source: RNAcentral